This 383-nucleotide ribosomal RNA is filed under the name uncultured bacterium. RNAcentral describes it as "bacterial SSU rRNA". It matches the Rfam family "Bacterial small subunit ribosomal RNA", at positions 28 to 412 of the family's 1533-position model. The record is from RNAcentral.
GACGAACGCUGGCGGCGUGCUUAACACAUGCAAGUCGAGCGGUAAGGCCCUUUCGGGGGUACACGAGCGGCGAACGGGUGAGUAACACGUGGGUGACCUGCCCUCAGCUCUGGGAUAAGCCUGGGAAACCGGGUCUAAUACUGGAUAUGACUCCAUGACGCAUGUUGUGGGGUGGAAAGCCUUGUGCGGCUGAGGAUGGGCCCGCGGCCUAUCAGCUUGUUGGUGGGGUGANGGCCUACCAAGGCGACGACGGGUAGCCGGCCUGAGAGGGCGACCGGCCACACUGGGACUGAGACACGGCCCAGACUCCUACGGUAGGCAGCAGUGGGGAAUCUUGCGCAAUGGGCGAAAGCCUGACGCAGCGACGCCGCGUGAGGGAUGAC